GGGUGCUUGCACCUGGUGGCGAGUGGCGAACGUGUGAGUAAUGCACCGGAACGUACCCAGUAAUGGGGGAUAACACAUCGAAAGAUGUGCUAAUACCGCAUACGCCCUGAGGGGGAAAGCGGGGGAUCGUAAGACCUCGCGUUAUUGGAGCGGCCGAUGCCGGAUUAGCUAGUUGGUGAGGUAAGAGCUCACCAAGGCGACGAUCCGUAGCUGGUCUGAGAGGACGACCAGCCACACUGGGACUGAGACACGGCCCAGACUCCUACGGGAGGCAGCAGUGGGGAAUUUUGGACAAUGGGCGCAAGCCUGAUCCAGCCAUGCCGCGUGAGUGAAGAAGGCCUUCGGGUUGUAAAGCUCUUUCGCAAGGAAAGAAAACUUAUCUACUAAUACUAGGUGAGGUUGACGGUACCUUGAUAAGAAGCACCGGCUAACUACGUGCCAGCAGCCGCGGUAAUACGUAGGGUGCGAGCGUUAAUCGGAAUUACUGGGCGUAAAGCGUGCGCAGGCGGUUUUGUAAGUCAGAUGUGAAAUCCCCGGGCUCAACCUGGGAACUGCGUUUGAAACUACAAGGCUAGAGUGUAGAAGAGGGGGGUAGAAUUCCACGUGUAGCAGUGAAAUGCGUAGAGAUGUGGAGGAAUACCGAUGGCGAAGGCAGCCCCCUGGGCUAACACUGACGCUCAUGCACGAAAGCGUGGGGAGCAAACAGGAUUAGAUACCCUGGUAGUCCACGCCCUAAACGAUGUCUACUAGUUGUUGGAGGAGUAAAAUCCUUUAGUAACGCAGCUAACGCGUGAAGUAGACCGCCUGGGGAGUACGGUCGCAAGAUUAAAACUCAAAGGAAUUGACGGGGGCCCGCACAAGCGGUGGAUUAUGUGGAUUAAUUCGAUGCAACGCGAAAAACCUUACCUGGCCUUGACAUGCCACUAACGAAGCAGAGAUGCAUUAGGUGCCCGAAAGGGAAAGUGGACACAGGUGCUGCAUGGCUGUCGUCAGCUUGUGUCGUGAGAUGUUGGGUUAAGUCCCCGCAACGAGCGCAACCCUUGCCAAUAAUUGCCAUCAUUUAGUUGGGCACUUUAUUGGGGACUGCCGGUGACAAACCGGAGGAAGGUGGGGAUGACGUCAAGUCCUCAUGGCCCUUAUGGCCAGGGCUUCACACGUAAUACAAUGGUCGGUACAGAGGGUUGCCAACCCGCGAGGGGGAGCCAAUCCCAGAAAGCCGAUCGUAGUCCGGAUUGUAGUCUGCAACUCGACUACAUGAAGUCGGAAUCGCUAGUAAUCGCGGAUCAGCAUGUCGCGGUGAAUACGUUCCCGGGCCUUGUACACACCGCCCGUCACACCAUGGGAGUGGGUUCUACCAGAAGUAGUUAGCCUAACCGUAAGGAGGGCGAUUACCACGGUAGGAUUCAUGACUGGGGUGAAGUCGUAACAAGGUA
RNAcentral lists this ribosomal RNA (1433 nucleotides) under Methylophilus sp. enrichment culture clone MWE_C44. RNAcentral's name for it is "16S ribosomal RNA". It matches the Rfam family "Bacterial small subunit ribosomal RNA". Lineage: Bacteria; Pseudomonadati; Pseudomonadota; Betaproteobacteria; Nitrosomonadales; Methylophilaceae. The record is from RNAcentral.